Molecule: ribosomal RNA, 492 nt
Filed under: uncultured bacterium
Lineage: Bacteria
Description: partial 16S ribosomal RNA
Rfam family: Bacterial small subunit ribosomal RNA
Source: RNAcentral
AGUGAACGCUGGCGGUAGGCCUAACACAUGCAAGUCGAACGGCAGCACAGUAAGAGCUUGCUCUUACGGGUGGCGAGUGGCGGACGGGUGAGGAAUACAUCGGAAUCUACUUUUUCGUGGGGGAUAACGUCGGGAAGCUUACGCUAAUACCGCAUACGACCUACGGGUGAAAGCAGGGGAUCUUCGGACCUUGCGCGAUUGAAUGAGCCGAUGUCGGCUUAGCUAGUUGGCGGGGUAAAGGCCCACCAAGGCGACGAUCCGUAGCUGGUCUGAGAGGAUGAUCAGCCACACUGGAACUGAGACACGGUCCAGACUCCUACGGGAGGCAGCAGUGGGGAAUAUUGGACAAUGGGCGCAAGCCUGAUCCAGCCAUACCGCGUGGGUGAAGAAGGCCUUCGGGUUGUAAAGCCCUUUUGUUGGGAAAGAAAAGCAGCAGGUUAAUACCCCGCUGUUCUGACGGUACCCAAAGAAUAAGCACCGGCUAACUUCGUG